UCCUGGUAGCUCAGACGGUAAAGGAUCUGCCUGCAGUGCAGAAGACCCAGGUUCGAUCCCUGGGUCGGGAA
Molecule: transfer RNA, 71 nt
Filed under: Ovis aries (sheep)
Lineage: Eukaryota; Metazoa; Chordata; Mammalia; Artiodactyla; Bovidae
Rfam family: tRNA
About the family: Transfer RNA (tRNA) molecules are approximately 80 nucleotides in length. Their secondary structure includes four short double-helical elements and three loops (D, anti-codon, and T loops).
Source: Rfam by way of RNAcentral